Molecule: ribosomal RNA, 813 nt
Filed under: Triticum aestivum (bread wheat)
Lineage: Eukaryota; Viridiplantae; Streptophyta; Magnoliopsida; Poales; Poaceae
Description: partial small subunit ribosomal RNA
Source: RNAcentral
AUGGAGGCCACUCUUCUGAGCGUGGGCAAGACCGUGCUGAAUGGGGCUAUUGGCUACGCACGGUCCACCAUCGCCGAGGAGGUUGCUUUGCAGCUCGGAGUGCGGCGGGAUCAGGCCUUCAUCACCGAUGAGCUGGAGAUGAUGCAGGGUUUCCUUAUGGCCGGGAACGCCGAGGGAAACAACAGCGAGGUCGUCACGAUCUGGGUCAAGCAAGUCAGGGACGUGUCCUACGAGGUAGAGGACUGCCUCCUGGACUUCGCUGUCCGUCUAGAGAAGCAAUCUUGGUGGCGAAUCCCUCGCACGCUGCUGGAUCGGCGUCAUGUCGCCCAGCGGAUGCUGGAGCUCCGGGUGAAGGUUGAAGAAGUCAACAAGCGAAACUUGCGCUACAACCUCGUCAACGGCGCCUCUGGCUCCAAUCCCACCUCCGCCGCCGCCAACAGGCCGAUGUUUGGCGUUGACGAGUCAAGGCGUGUCGCUAUGCUCGACAAGGCAAAUGCGAAUCUGGUCAAACUCAUCAACAAGAAGGAUCAUGACCUUAGAGUGAUCGCAUUGUGGGGAACCGGCGGUGAUCUCGGUCUGGUGUCCAUCAUCAGAGCAUCCUACGAGGAUACGGAUCUCAAACUGAAGUUCCCAUGUCGAGCAUGGGUCAGGGUGAUGCAUCCUUUCAGUCCAAAGCAAUUUGUGCAGACAUUACUCAGGCAGUUCCGCACAGCCGUCCUAGGUGUUGACGUUCUGCUGGAGACGGAGAAGACAGGGCAAGAUUUGGCUCAGGAGUUCAAAAGAUACAGUAUGUCAAUGAAAAGAGUUACCUGA